GACGAACGCUGGCGGCGUGCCUAAUACAUGCAAGUAGAACGCACAGUUUAUACCGUAGCUUGCUACACCAUAGACUGUGAGUUGCGAACGGGUGAGUAACGCGUAGGUAACCUGCCUGGUAGCGGGGGAUAACUAUUGGAAACGAUAGCUAAUACCGCAUAAUAUUAAUUAUUGCAUGAUAAUUAAUUGAAAGGUGCAAUUGCACCACUACCAGAUGGACCUGCGUUGUAUUAGCUAGUAGGUGAGGUAACGGCUCACCUAGGCGACGAUACAUAGCCGACCUGAGAGGGUGAUCGGCCACACUGGGACUGAGACACGGCCCAGACUCCUACGGGAGGCAGCAGUAGGGAAUCUUCGGCAAUGGACGAAAGUCUGACCGAGCAACGCCGCGUGAGUGAAGAAGGUUUUCGGAUCGUAAAGCUCUGUUGUAAGAGAAGAACGGGUGUGAGAGUGGAAAGUUCACACUGUGACGGUAUCUUACCAGAAAGGGACGGCUAACUACGUA
This 505-nucleotide ribosomal RNA is filed under the name uncultured bacterium. Its description in RNAcentral is "partial 16S ribosomal RNA". It matches the Rfam family "Bacterial small subunit ribosomal RNA", at positions 28 to 507 of the family's 1533-position model. The record is from RNAcentral.